RNAcentral lists this ribosomal RNA (293 nucleotides) under uncultured bacterium. RNAcentral's name for it is "partial 16S ribosomal RNA". The record is from RNAcentral.
GGACUACUGGGGUAUCUAAUCCUGUUCGCUCCCCACGCUUUCGCGCCUCAGCGUCAGUACUGGCCCAGAACACCGCCUUCGCCACUGGUGUUCCACCUGAUAUCUAAGCAUUUCACCGCUACACCAGGUAUUCCGUGUUCCCCUACCAGACUCAAGUCAUAGCAGUUCCGAGUGGCCGCCCCGAGUUGAGCUCGAGGGUUUCACACCCGGCUUACCAAACCGCCUACGCGCGCUUUACGCCCAAUAAAUCCGGACAACGCUCGCUCCCUACGUAUUACCGCGGCUGCUGGCAC